GGGAACGGCAUCCGGAACUGUCAGGCUAGAGUGCAGGAGAGGAAGGUAGAAUUCCCGGUGUAGCGGUGAAAUGCGUAGAGAUCGGGAGGAAUACCAGUGGCGAAGGCGGCCUUCUGGACUGACACUGACACUGAGGUGCGAAAGCGUGGGUAGCAAACAGGAUUAGAUACCCUGGUAGUCCACGCCGUAAACGAUGUCGACCAGCCGUUGGGUGCCUAGCGCACUUUGUGGCGAAGUUAACGCGAUAAGUCGACCGCCUGGGGAGUACGGCCGCAAGGUUAAAACUCAAAUGAAUUGACGGGGGCCCGCACAAGCGGUGGAGCAUGUGGUUUAAUUCGAUGCAACGCGAAGAACCUUACCUACUCUUGACAUCCUGCGAACUUGUGAGAGAUCACUUGGUGCCUUCGGGAGCGCAGAGACAGGUGCUGCAUGGCUGUCGUCAGCUCGUGUUGUGAAAUGUUGGGUUAAGUCCCGUAACGAGCGCAACCCUUGUCCUUAUUUGCCAGCGGGUAAUGCCGGGAACUCUAAGGAGACUGCCGGUGACAAACCGGAGGAAGGUGGGGACGACGUCAAGUCAUCAUGGCCCUUACGAGUAGGGCUACACACGUGCUACAAUGGCCGGUACAAAGGGUUGCGAGCUCGCGAGAGUCAGCUAAUCCCGAAAAGCCGGUCUCAGUCCGGAUCGGAGUCUGCAACUCGACUCCGUGAAGUCGGAAUCGCUAGUAAUCGUGAAUCAGAAUGUCACGGUGAAUACGUUCCCGGGCCUUGUACACACCGCCCGU
This 782-nucleotide ribosomal RNA is filed under the name uncultured bacterium. RNAcentral's name for it is "bacterial SSU rRNA". It matches the Rfam family "Bacterial small subunit ribosomal RNA", at positions 616 to 1397 of the family's 1533-position model. The record is from RNAcentral.